RNAcentral lists this ribosomal RNA (281 nucleotides) under uncultured Staphylococcus sp. RNAcentral describes it as "partial 16S ribosomal RNA". It matches the Rfam family "Bacterial small subunit ribosomal RNA", at positions 81 to 354 of the family's 1533-position model. Lineage: Bacteria; Bacillati; Bacillota; Bacilli; Caryophanales; Staphylococcaceae. The record is from RNAcentral.
CUCCUUUGACGUUAGCGGCGGACGGGUGAGUAACACGUGGGUAACCUACCUAUAAGACUGGGAUAACUUCGGGAAACCGGAGCUAAUACCGGAUAAUAUUUCGAACCGCAUGGUUCGAUAGUGAAAGGUGGUUUUGCUAUCACUUAUAGAUGGACCCGCGCCGUAUUAGCUAGUUGGUAAGGUAAAGGCUUACCAAGGCGACGAUACGUAGCCGACCUGAGAGGGUGAUCGGCCACACUGGAACUGAGACACGGUCCAGACUCCUACGGGAGGCAGCAGAG